CCACUGCAGCAAUGCAGUAUCCCUAGCUGAAUACAUAGGCUAGUGGAAGCGAACCGGGUGAACUGAAACAUCUCAGUAGCUCGAGGAAAAGAAAUCAACCGAGAUUCCGAAAGUAGUGGCGAGCGAAAUCGGAAGAGCCUUUACGUUUUAGCAUGCAAGAUAAUCGAAGGGGAUGGAAAGCCCCGCCGUAGCAGGUGAUAGCCCUGUAGAUGAAAUUUUGUGUGUGGAACUAAGCGUAAGACAAGUAGGGCGGGACACGUGAAAUCCUGUUUGAAGAUGGGGGGACCAUCCUCCAAGGCUAAAUACUCGUGAUCGACCGAUAGUGAACCAGUACCGUGAGGGAAAGGCGAAAAGAACCCCGGAAGGGGAGUGAAAUAGAUCCUGAAACCGUAUGCAUACAAACAGUAGGAGCCUCCUUGUGGGGUGACUGCGUACCUUUUGUAUAAUGGGUCAGCGACUUACAUUCAGUGGCAAGGUUAACCGAAUAGGGAAGCCGUAGCGAAAGCGAGUCCGAAUAGGGCGAUUCAGUCGCUGGGUGUAGACCCGAAACCAGAUGAUCUAUCCAUGGCCAGGUUGAAGGCACGGUAACACGUGCUGGAGGACCGAACCCACUAAUGUUGAAAAAUUAGGGGAUGAGCUGUGGAUAGGGGUGAAAGGCUAAACAAAUCUGGAAAUAGCUGGUUCUCUCCGAAAACUAUUUAGGUAGUGCCUCAAGUAUUACUGCGGGGGGUAGAGCACUGUUAUAGCUAGGGGGUCAUGGCGACUUACCAAACUAUGGCAAACUCCGAAUACCCUCAAGUACAGCUUGGGAGACAGAGCACCGGGUGCUAACGUCCGGACUCAAGAGGGAAACAACCCAGACCGCCAGCUAAGGUCCCGAAUUAUCGCUAAGUGGGAAACGAAGUGGGAAGGCAUAGACAGUCAGGAGGUUGGCUUAGAAGCAGCCAUCCUUUAAAGAAAGCGUAAUAGCUCACUGAUCGAGUCGUCCUGCGCGGAAGAUGUAACGGGGCUAAGCGAUAAACCGAAGCUGCGGGUGUGCACUUUUAGUGCACGCGGUAGGAGAGCGUUCUGUAAGCCUGCGAAGGUGGCUUGUAAAGGCUGCUGGAGGUAUCAGAAGUGCGAAUGCUGACAUGAGUAGCGAUAAAGGGGGUGAAAAGCCCCCUCGCCGUAAGUCCAAGGUUUCCUGCGCAACGUUCAUCGGCGCAGGGUGAGUCGGCCCCUAAGGCGAGGCAGAGAUGCGUAGCUGAUGGGAAACUGGUUAAUAUUCCAGUACCGUCGUACAGUGCGAUGGGGGGACGGAUCGCGGAAGAUCAUCAGGGUGUUGGAUGUCCCUGUUGCUGCAUCGAAGAUGGCGCUUAGGCAAAUCCGGGCGCGUAAAUCAAGGGUGUGGCACGAGCGAGCAUUGCUUGCGAAGUGAUUGGAAGUGGUUCCAAGAAAAGCCUCUAAGCUUCAGCUGUACGAGACCGUACCGCAAACCGACACAGGUGGACGGGAUGAAUAUUCCAAGGCGCUUGAGAGAACUCAGGAGAAGGAACUCGGCAAAUUGAUACCGUAACUUCGGGAGAAGGUAUACCCCGGUAGUGUGAAGCGCCUGCGCGCUUAGCAUGAUGGGGUCGCAGAGAAUCGGUGGCUGCGACUGUUUAUUAAAAACACAGCACUCUGCAAAGACGAAAGUCGACGUAUAGGGUGUGACGCCUGCCCGGUGCCGGAAGGUUAAGUGAUGGGGUGCAAGCUCUUGAUCGAAGCCCCGGUAAACGGCGGCCGUAACUAUAACGGUCCUAAGGUAGCGAAAUUCCUUGUCGGGUAAGUUCCGACCUGCACGAAUGGCGUAA
RNAcentral lists this ribosomal RNA (1832 nucleotides) under soil metagenome. Its description in RNAcentral is "bacterial LSU rRNA". It matches the Rfam family "Bacterial large subunit ribosomal RNA", at positions 128 to 2004 of the family's 2925-position model. The record is from RNAcentral.